RNAcentral lists this transfer RNA (76 nucleotides) under Ruminococcaceae bacterium OttesenSCG-928-I18. RNAcentral describes it as "tRNA-Val". It matches the Rfam family "tRNA". Rfam says of the family: Transfer RNA (tRNA) molecules are approximately 80 nucleotides in length. Their secondary structure includes four short double-helical elements and three loops (D, anti-codon, and T loops). The record is from RNAcentral. Lineage: Bacteria; Bacillati; Bacillota; Clostridia; Eubacteriales; Oscillospiraceae.
GGGCGCUUAGCUCAGCUGGUAGAGCACGUGCUUGACGUGCACGGGGUCGGGGAUUCGAGUUCCUCAGCGCCCACCA